CAUGGCAAAGUCGAACGCACAGCGAAAGGUGCUUGCACCUUUCAAGUGAGUGGCGAACGGGUGAGUAACACGUGGACAACCUGCCUCAAGGCUGGGGAUAACAUUUGGAAACAGAUGCUAAUACCGAAUAAAACUUAGUGUCGCAUGACACAAAGUUAAAAGGCGCUUCGGCGUCACCUAGAGAUGGAUCCGCGGUGCAUUAGUUAGUUGGUGGGGUAAAGGCCUACCAAGACAAUGAUGCAUAGCCGAGUUGAGAGACUGAUCGGCCACAUUGGGACUGAGACACGGCCCAAACUCCUACGGGAGGCUGCAGUAGGGAAUCUUCCACAAUGGGCGAAAGCCUGAUGGAGCAACGCCGCGUGUGUGAUGAAGGCUUUCGGGUCGUAAAGCACUGUUGUAUGGGAAGAACAGCUAGAAUAGGAAAUGAUUUUAGUUUGACGGUACCAUACCAGAAAGGGACGGCUAAAUACGUGCCAGCAGCCGCGGUAAUACGUAUGUCCCGAGCGUUAUCCGGAUUUAUUGGGCGUAAAGCGAGCGCAGACGGUUUAUUAAGUCUGAUGUGAAAGCCCGGAGCUCAACUCCGGAAUGGCAUUGGAAACUGGUUAACUUGAGUGCAGUAGAGGUAAGUGGAACUCCAUGUGUAGCGGUGGAAUGCGUAGAUAUAUGGAAGAACACCAGUGGCGAAGGCGGCUUACUGGACUGCAACUGACGUUGAGGCUCGAAAGUGUGGGUAGCAAACAGGAUUAGAUACCCUGGUAGUCCACACCGUAAACGAUGAACACUAGGUGUUAGGAGGUUUCCGCCUCUUAGUGCCGAAGCUAACGCAUUAAGUGUUCCGCCUGGGGAGUACGACCGCAAGGUUGAAACUCAAAGGAAUUGACGGGGACCCGCACAAGCGGUGGAGCAUGUGGUUUAAUUCGAAGCAACGCGAAGAACCUUACCAGGUCUUGACAUCCUUUGAAGCUUUUAGAGAUAGAAGUGUUCUCUUCGGAGACAAAAUGACAGGUGGUGCAAGGUCCUCCUCACCUCCGGUCCUGAAAAGUGUGGGGUUAAAUCCCCGCACCAAGCGCACCCCUUAUUGGUUGUUUGCCGCGCUUUCAGAAGGGGCCCCUUACCGAAAAGGCCGGUGACAAAACCGCAGGAAAGGGGGGGGGAGAGAUCCAGAUAAAAAAGGCGCCCUUUAAACCGGGGGGAACCCCCGGGUCCAAAGGGGGGGUUUCCCCG
Molecule: ribosomal RNA, 1224 nt
Filed under: Leuconostoc mesenteroides
Lineage: Bacteria; Bacillati; Bacillota; Bacilli; Lactobacillales; Lactobacillaceae
Description: bacterial SSU rRNA
Rfam family: Bacterial small subunit ribosomal RNA
Source: RNAcentral